AAAAAUAAACUUAGAAGUUUCUCCACAAGAAAUAUUUUAUUUUAUGUAAAAAGUAUAAAAAAUUAUAAGAACAAAAUAGAAGUAACAAACACAUUUAUUUAUUAUUUAUUAGAGAGUAUUUAUUACAUCUUUCAUAUAGUAGAUAAACAAUAUAUGAUCACCACAUCUAUAAAUAUAUCAGCGUUUAAAGGGCACGACACUCUUCUGCCCGUUCAUCCGUUUUUUCUUUAAUGAACACGCGCGUCAAAAAU
RNAcentral lists this long non-coding RNA (251 nucleotides) under Lathyrus oleraceus (garden pea). Its description in RNAcentral is "Pisum sativum (pea) long non-coding RNA (PSAT_LNC042231)". The record is from RNAcentral. Lineage: Eukaryota; Viridiplantae; Streptophyta; Magnoliopsida; Fabales; Fabaceae.